GAUUAUUUGUGGAUAUCCUCUAUCUAGCUGGAUCGUGUGGUAGGCCGCGUAGGUGACAGUUACGUUGGUCCCCUGUAGUCCACCUCCUGUUAGCGGGACGGGUAGGGUUUAUCGGCCUAUGGAUAAGCAUCCUUGCGUUGUAUUCUUAUCACGUGGUUCGUCCUAGACAUAGACAUAUCCCUUUGAAUUAGAGAAACCAUAGUUAUCCUCUCUAUUCUCCUACAAUCGCCCAUAUACUAGAAUUGCUCUACUCUCUAUUCCCAUAUUAUCAUCCAUUGUUAUCUUACCUUUAAUAUUGUUCUUAUUCAAUUCGACCAUCUUUCCUAUUUACACCUGUCUAUCUAUCUUGGUUAAGUUAGAGCGUAGAUCAGUUCUCCCGUUUCCCUGUGGAUACGAUAAAACCUUUAACUGGGUAAAAGCUACAACGGUAUCCGUGCGCUUGCAGAUUAUCUAUGUGCGUAUAAAUACCGUAGUACACUCUAGUGCCAUGCUGGGGAUGACAACCUAGUAUUCAAGUGGUGUUAGCAAGUGUCAACAAGCAUUUUUGGCGCCGUUGCCGGGGAGACGGUUGCUGAGUUGACUACGAACUAGCUUAAUCAUUUUCUAAAAAAAUA
This 614-nucleotide long non-coding RNA is filed under the name Sorghum bicolor (sorghum). RNAcentral's name for it is "long non-coding RNA (SBIC_LNC010250)". Lineage: Eukaryota; Viridiplantae; Streptophyta; Magnoliopsida; Poales; Poaceae. The record is from RNAcentral.